AGAGUUUGAUCAUGGCUCAGAAUCAACGCUGGCGGCGUGCCUAAUACAUGCAAGUCGAACGCGAAAGUCCCGCAAGGGAUUAGUAGAGUGGCAAACGGGUGAGUAACGCGUGGGCGACCUACCUUCGAGUGGGGGAUAACCUUCCGAAAGGAGGGCUAAUACCGCAUGACAUCCCGUGUUUGGAUACACGGACAUCAAAGUCGGGGAUCGCAAGACCUGACGCUUGGAGAGGGGCCCGCGUCCGAUUAGCUAGUUGGUGGGGUAACGGCUCACCAAGGCUCCGAUCGGUAUCCGGCCUGAGAGGGCGGACGGACACACUGGGACUGAGACACGGCCCAGACUCCUACGGGAGGCAGCAGUAGGGAAUUGUUCGCAAUGGGCGCAAGCCUGACGACGCAACGCCGCGUGGAGGAUGAAGACCUUCGGGUCGUAAACUCCUUUCGACCGAGAUGAAUACUUGCCGACCUAAUACGUCGGCAAGCUGACAGUAUCGAGGAGAGCC
Molecule: ribosomal RNA, 502 nt
Filed under: uncultured Acidobacteriaceae bacterium
Lineage: Bacteria; Pseudomonadati; Acidobacteriota; Terriglobia; Terriglobales; Acidobacteriaceae
Description: bacterial SSU rRNA
Rfam family: Bacterial small subunit ribosomal RNA
Source: RNAcentral